RNAcentral lists this unclassified non-coding RNA (428 nucleotides) under Hevea brasiliensis (rubber tree). The record is from RNAcentral. Lineage: Eukaryota; Viridiplantae; Streptophyta; Magnoliopsida; Malpighiales; Euphorbiaceae.
CCCCACCCCUCCUAGCCACUUCAUCUGCCCGAUAUUAAAGGAUAUAAUGAUUGACCCUUGUGUUGCUUCGGAUGGAUACACUUAUGACCGCAAAGCAAUUGAGAAAUGGCUUGAAGAGAAUGAUAAAUCACCAAUGACAAAUUUGCCUUUGCCAAAUAAGAAUCUCUUACCAAACUAUACACUUCUGUCUGCAAUCAUGGAGUGGAAGUCUAAUAAGCAAUGACAGAUUGCCUUCUGUUCAUUGUCAGGUUAACACACCAGGGAAUUUUUUUUUAUAGAGGUCCUUAGAAUGAAUGGGUGUUGUGUAAAUAGAAUUGAGAGCAUAAAUUAUCGUUGUCGUAUAUAAUUCAUGAUGCUAUUUUUGGGUGAUUAUAAAGAUGAACAUAUGGCACAGAACAAAAAAAUAGCAUCAUGAAUUAUAUACGACA